RNAcentral lists this ribosomal RNA (492 nucleotides) under uncultured bacterium. RNAcentral's name for it is "partial 16S ribosomal RNA". It matches the Rfam family "Bacterial small subunit ribosomal RNA", at positions 29 to 507 of the family's 1533-position model. The record is from RNAcentral.
AGUGAACGCUGGCGGUAGGCCUAACACAUGCAAGUCGAACGGCAGCACAGUAAGAGCUUGCUCUUACGGGUGGCGAGUGGCGGACGGGUGAGGAAUACAUCGGAAUCUACUUUUUCGUGGGGGAUAACGUAGGGAAACUUACGCUAAUACCGCAUACGACCUACGGGUGAAAGCAGGGGAUCUUCGGACCUUGCGCGAUUGAAUGAGCCGAUGUCGGAUUAGCUAGUUGGCGGGGUAAAGGCCCACCAAGGCGACGAUCCGUAGCUGGUCUGAGAGGAUGAUCGGCCAGACUGGAACUGAGACACGGUCCAGACUCCUACGGGAGGCAGCAGUGGGGAAUAUUGGACAAUGGGCGCAAGCCUGGUCCAGCCAUACCGCGUGGGUGAAGAAGGCCUUCGGGUUGUAGAGCCCUUUUGUUGGGAAAGAAAAGCAGCAGGUUAAUACCCCGCUGUUCUGACGGUACCCAAAGAAUAAGCACCGGCUAAGUUCGUG